GCGUGGCGACCUCCACCCCUGCUCGUCUGAAACAACCGAGAGCGAGGAGCUGUGCGUCCUAGCUAGGGUUCCACCCUGCCGUCCUCCGUCCCCGGCCUGCCGCCCCCAAAUCUGCGAGCAACGAUGGCAACGGCGCGCGCUCGCCCCGCCCUACACCACCCUCACCGCCAAGACCCCGCCACGACUACUGGUAGCCAGCAGCUCGAGAUCGAGGUCACCACGGAGAACCCCCCACCGGCGCAUCACAGCCGACUGCGGCGGCUGGGGCGACCCCAAGCAGGAGGCGGCGGCUAGCGAGGAUGGCGGCUAAGGGGAGAAGGGGCCGAUGUUUGCUGAUCUUGGAGGGAAGGAGGCGGUGCUUGGCGAGCUGAUGGAUCCUGAGGACAUUCAGGCAUGAGGAUAGCGCCUCCCACCUCUCAUUUUUCAAUAUGCGCUCCUGUCUGUAUCUCAUAUGCUCUCCUAUCUGUAUCUCUUUCUGAUUUUUUUCCAAUACGUUGUAGCGGUUUGAGGCAGGAGCAGGGAUGACGACUAGAACAGAGCAGUACCGGAGAAUUCCAGGCAGGCAGAGAUUCACCUUGCAUGAUGAUUCAUCGAAGAUUAUGUGUUCAUACCUGCCAUUCUGCUUGAAACCCCUGCUCUUCUGGAUAGCAGAUGUGAUGCAGUUAAACGGAGCCAUGAACAUCACUAGAUCCUUUGUAUGUUCCCCCUAAAUGGUACUGUAGAUUAUAAGGGCCAUCUAACUGUUGUUGUUUUAUGCAUGGCUUCGGACUCAACAUUGUUUUCUACAACUGAGCGGCGGUUUGAGGCAGGAUCAGCGAUGACGACAAGAACAGAGCAGUACCCGAGAAUAUUCACCUUCCAUGAUGACUCAUAUUGCAGUUCAGAAUUUCACACGAGUUAGAUGCACCAUGAUUUAGUUGUGAAGUUCCGAGGUACUAUAGAGUGAGGUCAUUCGACGAGGAGUGUCAAAGCUUAACUAGGCGUUUUGAAAGUCAGGCGUACUACAAGUUAGCGCGGUCUAUGGCUUUCUCUUAAAUUGGUAGUUGUGUCUCAAUGCAAGUGACAGCGUGGUGUUUCAUCCAAUUAGCGGUUAUUUAUUUGUCUGGGUUUCCUUUUCUGGAGAAAAUCUAAAGUGCCCUUAUAUAUCCGAUGUUUCACAGUUUCCUCCUAGCACAGAAGAUGCUAUUUCAAAGUCUGGAGGGGGCCUGGUCCUUUUCUCAUCUUGGACUGCCGAUAGAGCUCGAGUGCACCUGUGAUUCUUUACAUUCUUCUUUGUACUGUCUCUCCAUUUCUAUACAGGUGUUUAACUUUGCGGAAGAGUUUCUCCUGCUUUUUACCUACUGGGUAUCAAUUAGGACACACAGAAAUUUUUGAAGCAAGUGCACAUAAUCACUGAAUGCUUGAAAAUUUUCAUGAGCCACCAGAUGUAAGGUGACUGGUUUUAGACCUUUAACAAUUAAGUGAAGGUAUGUUUCGUCUAUUCAAAUGUAAAAAACUUGGGCACGAUGUUGCUGAUCAUAUGGAGUAAGUUGUAUCUGUGACUUUGUAGAUCAUCUACUCCAUUUAUAAAGGGCAAUCUGAAAUGUUUCUGUCUUUCUCAUGAAGAAUGUUUUUGGAUUUUUUUUAUAGAUUUUAUGUAUUUUCCGCUGGAUUGGUAUAGUGAUAUAAAAGAACUUUAUCCAAAAGUUACAUUUAGUUAUCGGCCCUUACAUAUGUAUACUUCAUAUAAUGAAAUCAAAACCAACAGAUGAUUGUUGCUUAUUGUGGCCAUGAGUGAGCAUGUGAGGUU
Lolium perenne is the source of this 1789-nucleotide long non-coding RNA. RefSeq lists it as uncharacterized. The record is from RefSeq and is a predicted model, not a curated record. Lineage: Eukaryota; Viridiplantae; Streptophyta; Magnoliopsida; Poales; Poaceae.